This 2340-nucleotide long non-coding RNA is filed under the name Phasianus colchicus (ring-necked pheasant). RNAcentral describes it as "lncRNA (ENSPCLG00000005323.1)". The record is from RNAcentral. Lineage: Eukaryota; Metazoa; Chordata; Aves; Galliformes; Phasianidae.
UGUAAUUGCAUGCAGGUAGCUUGUUUGUGACAGGCUGCAUGGCAAAGGAUCGGAGCUGCACCUUUGUUUAAAGAUACAAUCCAUGAGCAGCAUCAAAACCAGCACUGCUUUCAGGCUGGUGUGGUAAGUGGCCACAGCCAUCACAGUGCGUGCAGGAAAGGCUGGGAUACAGGUAAACAAACAUUAAGUGCUGGCUCUCCAUACAAAUGGAAAUUAAGGAUGUGAUAAAUUUGCUUUUUAAAGCAAUCAAAUCUCCAAUACCCACCAUUUGGCUCAAUUGGAGACAAUGAGGACACAGGGUAAUGUGACAGAUCAGCCAUUUUGUGGGAAUGAACACAUUUAUUUUAGCUAUACCAGGCAGACAAAAUUCACUUUAAGUUACAUAACAUGGCAAUUUAUCUUCAUCAUCCAUUACCUGUGAGUUCAUAAGUGAAAACCUGUCAUCAAAGACACAGCCUAUGCUUGACUAGAAGUUCAGAGCACCGAUUGCUUUGAUGCCACAGUCACAACCACACUCUGGAAGGACGUCUAACUGAGCUGCAUACGUGCCACCCCAUGCAGAACAACAUGAGGGCUGCCCCAGCUCAACCCUCAGCAUCAGAUCACCUCUGCUGCCAUCUCCCAUUGCCCACCUGGAGCACUGUGUCCAGAUGCGCAGUCCUCAGUACAGGAGAGACUCACAAAAUCAUAGAAUCAUAGAAUGGCUUGUGUUGGAACGGACCCCAAGAAUCACCGAGUUCCAACCCCCCUGCCAAAGGUAGGGCCACUAACCUCCAGAUCUGGUACUGGACCAGGUUGCCCAGGGCUCCAUCCAACCUGGUCUUGAACACUUUCAGGGAUGGGGCAUCCACAGCCUCUGUGAGCAGCCUGUUCCAGAACCUCACCACUCUCUCUGUGGGACGUGGACCUGUUGGAUCACGUUUAGAGGAGGACCAUGAAAACGAUGCAAAGUACUCACAGAGUCCGCAAGAUUCCCUUCCAUGGCAUGAAUACAACCUGGCAGUACCCAGACUUCUCUUUUUUCUCCUCCCAGCAGACGAAUUUUCAGAUGAUGGAGAUUUUUUCACUUGGCAAAUUUUGACUGUUUUGCUGAGAGCUGCGGCUGGGGCUUCUCGCACAUCAUCUCUUGCUCCUUUUUCUCUGUUUCCUCCUUCUCAGACCUCACUCACAGCCUUGCCUUUUAUCAGAGGCCCAGCAAGCCCCCCAGAAUUAGAAGAUUGGCACCACUGUCUAGAUCAAUCACAGAUACCGACAGCUUUGGACAAACAGCAUUGCCAGGCUGUGGGUUGCAGGAUGUCCAUCGUGUCCCAUCCAGAGUGUGACCUUGGAUCACCAAAAGCUGUGAUGCAGUUAUCAAGAUGGGUUUCGCGUUUCAAGGUCACUCGAACAUCUCUAAGGAGAAGGCAACAUAAACUCUUGCAGUAUGCAGCAGCCCUGAGCCAAUGAGCUGCCAUUCUACACACUACAGCUGCAGAAAAGGAGUGAAGGCUCCAAGGAUGACCUACACCAUUUACAUCACAACCACGGAUGGACUUGAGGAAAAAGCUUUAAAGCAACACAGAAAGCAGAUUCUCUGCUCUGCAUGCCCAAAAACUCCCGGUUUUCAUUGAGAGCAAAAGUCACAGCCACUGUACAACCACUUUUAGUUGAUUUUAAAUGCACCUGUCCCUUCAGCCUCACAUUGUAACUCUCAGUCUCUGUCCAGGAGCAAAUCCGUCUUUUAAAGCAACACAGACAUUCUGAAGCAGCCUAGAGACAAGAUUAGGAAUAAUUUAGUUGCUGUCUUUUCAACUUUUUGAACAGUGGUGGUGUCAAAUGCCCCAAGUACAAGCCUGAAAUGGAACAAGUAACAGAGGUAGAUCAACAGCGAAGGAAAUGCCAUUUAGUGUCUCAUCCCUAAAGAAACUUCACAUCAGUGAUAAAGAGCGUGAUCUGAAAAAAAAAGAAAAGCUGAAACCACACAGAAAAAAUGAGUGAGGUGGGGAAAAUCAGAUGUGGCUGAGAACAGAAGGUACUUCUCAAUUCAUAAGCACCAGGAAAAGUUCUCACUCCCCACACAGUCCUAAUUCCAGCAUCCCCAGCCUUCCAAGAGUUUGACUUCUCAGCAUAAUUCCCAGCCUCAAAAAAAUGGUGCUUUGUACGGAGUGCACCUCCACAGACCAACAAAUCUCUGCACGAUUCAGCAGGUGGGGUGAGCAAUUGGCUCUGCACUGCUCUCCUCUGGUCUGAGUUACACGGCCCGGGAGAGGGACGUGAUUGAUUUCAAACCCAUUUAUGGCUCACAUAAAGCUUUAAGACGGAAUCGUGUUUAGUAUUUUGUUUUUAUUUCAUUUUAUCAUG